UACGUAGGGUCCGAGCGUUGUCCGGAAUUACUGGGCGUAAAGCGUGCGUAGGCGGUCCGAUAAGUCUGAUGUGAAAGCCCUGGGCUCAACUCAGGAACUGCAUUAGAUACUGACGGACUGGAGUACCGGAGAGGGAAGCGGAAUUCCUGGUGUAGCGGUGAAAUCCGUAGAUAUCAGGAGGAAUAUCGGAGGCGAAGGCGACCAACUGGUGGUGUAUUGACGCUGAGGUGCGAAAGCGUGGGGAGCAAACAGG
This 253-nucleotide ribosomal RNA is filed under the name uncultured bacterium. RNAcentral's name for it is "partial 16S ribosomal RNA". It matches the Rfam family "Bacterial small subunit ribosomal RNA", at positions 524 to 776 of the family's 1533-position model. The record is from RNAcentral.